This 211-nucleotide long non-coding RNA is filed under the name Elaeis guineensis (African oil palm). RNAcentral describes it as "long non-coding RNA (EGUI_LNC016699)". The record is from RNAcentral. Lineage: Eukaryota; Viridiplantae; Streptophyta; Magnoliopsida; Arecales; Arecaceae.
CGCCCCUCUUUUCUCUCCUCAAGCAUGGGUCUCAUAAGAAAUUAUCGGAUAAACCAAAUCCAUCCUGGAUGUAGGAUGAAAUGAAUCCGUUUUCUCUUAUUUCCUAUCUUUUUUAUAUAAAGUAGCAAUAUAUGUUUGAAUAAUUUCAUCCUAAAUCUAUGAUGGAUAUAAUUCAUCUAAUAAUUUCUUUUUGUUCACAGUGUGCCCAUGA